GACGAACGCUGGCGGCGUGCUUAACACAUGCAAGUCGAACGGAAAGGCCUCUUUCGGGGGGUACUCGAGUGGCGAACGGGUGAGUAACACGUGAGUAACCUGCCCUUGACUUUGGGAUAACUUCAGGAAACUGGGGCUAAUACCGGAUAGGAGCUCCUGCUGCAUGGUGGGGGCUGGAAAGUUUCGGCGGUUGGGGAUGGACUCGCGGCUUAUCAGCUUGUUGGUGGGGUAGUGGGUUACCAAGGCUUUGACGGGUAGCCGGCCUGAGAGGGUGACCGGCCGCAUUGGGACUGAGGUACGGCACAGACGGGUACGGGUGGCAGCAGGGGGGAAUAUUGCACAAGGGGUGGAGGCCUGAUGCAGCAGGGCCGUGUGCGGGAUGACGGCCUUCGUGUUGAAGACCGCUAUCGCGCAUGACGAAGGUUGGUGUGACGGUAGUGGGUAAAGAAGCACCGGCUAACUACGUG
Molecule: ribosomal RNA, 467 nt
Filed under: uncultured bacterium
Lineage: Bacteria
Description: partial 16S ribosomal RNA
Rfam family: Bacterial small subunit ribosomal RNA
Source: RNAcentral